Molecule: ribosomal RNA, 433 nt
Filed under: uncultured bacterium
Lineage: Bacteria
Description: partial 16S ribosomal RNA
Rfam family: Bacterial small subunit ribosomal RNA
Source: RNAcentral
AACGAACGCUGGCGGCAUGCCUAACACAUGCAAGUCGAACGAGACCUUCGGGUCUAGUGGCGCACGGGUGCGUAACGCGUGGGAACUUGCCCUUAGGUUCGGAAUAACUCCCCGACAGGGGUGCUAAUACCGGAUAAUGUCUUCGGACCAAAGAUUUAUCGCCUUUGGAUGGGCCCGCGUUGGAUUAGCUAGUUGGUAGGGUAAAAGCCUACCAAGGCGACGAUCCAUAGCUGGUCUGAGAGGAUGAUCAGCCACACUGGGACUGAGACACGGCCCAGACUCCUACGGGAGGCAGCAGUGGGGAAUAUUGGACAAUGGGCGAAAGCCUGAUCCAGCAAUGCCGCGUGAGUGAUGAAGGCCUUAGGGUUGUAAAGCUCUUUUACCCGGGAUGAUAAUGACAGUACCGGGAGAAUAAGCUCCGGCUAACUCCGUG